AAUCUUCACUCCCAUGUACCUGCCCAUCAUCAUCACUGUGGCUUGAGGAUUUGUGCCUGGAGACUCUUUGAAUGUGGAACCAUCGAUGACGCGGAGCCUAUGGACACCAAGAACCUUGUGAUUGGGAGCGAUCACCUUUCCAACUUGACAUCCGCCAUGGUAAUGCCAUAUUGUGAUCACAGUGUCUUUGCAGAACUGUUCUAACGACUCUGUGUUAUGAGUGUGUUUUGGUAUUAGAUUAACAUUAGCUUGGACACUCAUGUUAAGCAGCCUAUCUAGUGUCUCUUUGUUACACUGUGUGAAGUUGGUGAAGUGUUUAGAUUUCGCUAUCUUCUCCACAAUGCGUAUACCAUCUACACAUCGUUUUAGAUCACGUGGAUGGCUGAAGUAGUUGAAGGUGAUGGAAGGGUUGUCGUCAGGAUUAGUAGUCACCAGGCUAAUGUUCC
RNAcentral lists this unclassified non-coding RNA (446 nucleotides) under Hevea brasiliensis (rubber tree). Lineage: Eukaryota; Viridiplantae; Streptophyta; Magnoliopsida; Malpighiales; Euphorbiaceae. The record is from RNAcentral.